GACGAACGCUGGCGGCGUGCUUAACACAUGCAAGUCGUACGGUAAGGCCCUUUCGGGGGUACACGAGUGGCGCACGGGUGAGUAACACGUGAGUAACCUGCCCACAACUUUGGGAUAACGCUAGGAAACUGGUGCUAAUACUGGAUAUGUGCUCCUGCUGAAUGGUGGGGGUUGGAAAGCUCCGGCGGUUGUGGAUGGACCCGCGGCCCAUCAGCUUGUUGGUGGGGUAGUGGCCUACCAAGGCGGCGACGGGAAGCCGGCCUGAGAGGGUGAACCGCCACAUUGAGACUGAGACACGGCCCAGACACCUACGAAAGGCAGCAGUGGAGAUUAUUGCACAAGUGACGCAAGCCCGGUACAACAACGACGCAUACAGGAUGACGGCCUUCGGUUUGAAAACAAGUUUCAACAAGGACGAGGAUUUUUAUUACGGUACCUGCAGAAAAAGCAACGGGUAACUCGGUG
Molecule: ribosomal RNA, 465 nt
Filed under: uncultured bacterium
Lineage: Bacteria
Description: partial 16S ribosomal RNA
Rfam family: Bacterial small subunit ribosomal RNA
Source: RNAcentral